Molecule: ribosomal RNA, 757 nt
Filed under: uncultured archaeon
Lineage: Archaea
Description: bacterial SSU rRNA
Rfam family: Archaeal small subunit ribosomal RNA
Source: RNAcentral
AGUCAUAUGUUCCUCGUGAACAUGGCAUACUGCUCAGUAACACGUGGAUAACCUGCCCUUGGGUCUGGGAUAACCCCGGGAAACUGGGGAUAAUAUCGGAUAACGCAUAUGUGCUGGAAUGCUUUAUGCGUAAAACGGAUUCGUCCGCCCAAGGAUGGGUCUGCGGCCUAUCAGGUAGUAGUGGGUGUAAUGUACCUACUAGCCAACAACGGGUACGGGUUGUGAGAGCAAGAGCCCGGAGAUGGAUUCUGAGACAUGAAUCCAGGCCCUACGGGGCGCAGCAGGCGCGAAAACUAUACAAUGCGGGAAACCGUGAUAAGGGAACACCGAGUGCCAGCAUCAUAUGCUGGCUGUCCAGAUGUGUAAACUACAUCUGUUAGCAAGGGCCGGGUAAGACCGGUGCCAGCCGCCGCGGUAACACCGGCGGCCCGAGUGGUGACCGUUAUUAUUGGGUCUAAAGGGUCCGUAGCCGGUUUGGUCAGUCCUCCGGGAAAUCUGAUAGCUUAACUGUUAGGCUUUCGGGGGAUACUGCCAGGCUUGGAACCGGGAGAGGUGAGGGGUACUUCGGGGGUAGGAGUGAAAUCCUGUAAUCCUCGAGGGACCACCUGUGGCGAAGGCGUCUUACCAGAACGGGUUCGACGGUGAGGGACGAAAGCUGGGGGCACGAACCGGAUUAGAUACCCGGGUAGUCCCAGCCGUAAACUAUGCUCGCUAGGUGUCAGGCAUGGCGCGACCGUGUCUGGUGCCGCAGGGAAAC